Non-coding RNA from Xyrichtys novacula (pearly razorfish), 1830 nucleotides. The record is from the annotation of a GenBank genome assembly. Lineage: Eukaryota; Metazoa; Chordata; Actinopteri; Labriformes; Labridae.
GGAGGAUAGAUGAAAGUCCUGGUUCAGCUUUGAAGAGCAUAAAAGUGUGCGAAAUAAAAUUAGCUUUGCUUUUAUCUUAACAGACAGGCGGUUUAGUUACUACUGAUGUUUUCCAGCAAGAAGAUACAGAGCAGACAUCCAUGCCACACUGAAGAAACAGCAGGAUGACAACCGCGUCCUUUUGGGUCAUCAUCUUUACAAAGGUAGCCUGUACUGACGGUUGAUAUCUAAAGCUGUGCAGAGAAAGCAUGAUUGCUAACACUACGACUAGCAAAAUCUCAAAAGUUUGUGCCAUCUAGCUCUUCUUAUCUGUAAAGAGUUACAACGAUGCAACGUCUUGUACAGGCAUUAACGUCAAUAUUGUAUUACAACACUAAUCAAGACAUUUCCAUUAUGCUUAUUGAGCUACUACUACAGGCAGCAUAUGUGAAAUUGACAUUUUUAACUGAGAAGAUAAUGUAUCUGGCUUUCUCGACACACUCUCCUGCAGGGUCUCCAGAGACCAUGCAGAGGCAGAGAGCUUUUAUUGAUUACCUGAGAACAGCUUAAGAAGUAUUUGUCUGAAACCUGAGGAGGAGCAGAUGCACACAAUCUUCAUUCACUUCACAGUAUUUGAAUCCAUGUUUGAAUGGACCCCAUCAGUGCAUCCAGAUGACUAUGUAUUUAUGAAAGAAUGAGCACAAAAUAAAUCUGUGACUUGUGAGGUUUGAAGGUGCACUGUGCAGUAUUUUAGCAGCAUUCAGGCAGAAUAGACUUGGUGGAAACGGAAAACAAUAACAAUAAGUGUGUUUACAUUGAUGUAUGAUCACCUAAAUAUUUACAAUUCUACACACUGUACCUAAAAUAUAGCAAACCUAAACAUUUUCCUCUGAUCUGUUUCAUCGUUUUAGGUUAAGAGUUUUUAAUCAACAGCACUAAGUCCUUGUAUUUACUGCUCAUCACCACCAGAGUGUGGCAAAGGAUAUAUAAGCCUCUUUGCCAUCUAGUGUGGAGUCUUGCAUACUUCAGAGCUUCAUUCAUUUCUCUGGUGUCGUAGACAAAGAGCAGAAUAAAGAAUCACUGAGAGUAAGAGAGGAAGUGAAACUGGAAACGGGACUUUUAAACUUUGGUGUACUUUUGUGGCUACAGUUGUUCUCCUUUUAGGAUUUAAAGUGCCUGUUGGCAUAAAAAACAAUGUUAUUAUCAUGUAGAAUCUAUGCUUAUGAAGAAAAAAAGAGUUCAACUAAAUAGUAAGAUGUGUUCAAACAUUAACUGUGAGAAACUGUUUGAUAAAAACCCACUUCAUGUCAAAAUGCCACAUUAAAUGUAUGAUAGAGCUACUGAAACACCAAAAUCUUUAAUUACCUACAUUGUUUAAAUCUUUCUCAUAUAAGGAGGUAAAGUCUAUCUAUUCUGCUUUAUUUAUAGACCAUUUAUCCUUCAUGUCACAGAGCCCUUUGCAUACACUCCCCUCUGCCUUUGUGUCUCUGUUCUGCAGCUCUGAGGGGGUUAACAGGACAUGAAGACAGUUGGGCCGCACCCACUGAGCUGAUUUGAAUAACGCCGGCAUUUGGCGCGAGGCUCAGAGGAGCCAGCCUUUCUUCAUACCGGCUGUGACACCACUCCCCUCCCCUUCACUCCCCGCCUUGUGCACCAUGGAGUGGCGGGAAAUGCUGGAGAGGAAGACCAGCACAAACAGAGUGAGAGAUGGAUCCAGGGACUGCACUGGCAGGGCUUUUACACCUACUCUGUACCUGCAGUCCCUUGGUUACCUAGGAAACAUGUCUUAUAGAAAAUGUCCCCAAGAGAAAGGACAGAGAGACAGAAAACAAGGAGGAAGAAGUAGCAGAA